RNAcentral lists this ribosomal RNA (765 nucleotides) under uncultured Stenotrophomonas sp. RNAcentral describes it as "bacterial SSU rRNA". It matches the Rfam family "Bacterial small subunit ribosomal RNA", at positions 28 to 777 of the family's 1533-position model. The record is from RNAcentral. Lineage: Bacteria; Pseudomonadati; Pseudomonadota; Gammaproteobacteria; Lysobacterales; Lysobacteraceae.
AGUGAACGCUGGCGGUAGGCCUAACACAUGCAAGUCGAACGGCAGCACAGGAGAGCUUGCUCUCUGGGUGGCGAGUGGCGGACGGGUGAGGAAUACAUCGGAAUCUACUCUGUCGUGGGGGAUAACGUAGGGAAACUUACGCUAAUACCGCAUACGACCUACGGGUGAAAGCAGGGGAUCUUCGGACCUUGCGCGAUUGAAUGAGCCGAUGUCGGAUUAGCUAGUUGGCGGGGUAAAGGCCCACCAAGGCGACGAUCCGUAGCUGGUCUGAGAGGAUGAUCAGCCACACUGGAACUGAGACACGGUCCAGACUCCUACGGGAGGCAGCAGUGGGGAAUAUUGGACAAUGGGCGCAAGCCUGAUCCAGCCAUACCGCGUGGGUGAAGAAGGCCUUCGGGUUGUAAAGCCCUUUUGUUGGGAAAGAAAUCCAGCUGGUUAAUACCCGGUUGGGAUGACGGUACCCAAAGAAUAAGCACCGGCUAACUUCGUGCCAGCAGCCGCGGUAAUACGAAGGGUGCAAGCGUUACUCGGAAUUACUGGGCGUAAAGCGUGCGUAGGUGGUUAUUUAAGUCCGUUGUGAAAGCCCUGGGCUCAACCUGGGAACUGCAGUGGAUACUGGAUGACUAGAAUGUGGUAGAGGGUAGCGGAAUUCCUGGUGUAGCAGUGAAAUGCGUAGAGAUCAGGAGGAACAUCCAUGGCGAAAGGCAGCUACCUGGGACCAACAUUGACACUNGAGGCACGAAAGNNGUGGGGGAGCAAACCAGG